RNAcentral lists this ribosomal RNA (345 nucleotides) under uncultured bacterium. Its description in RNAcentral is "bacterial SSU rRNA". It matches the Rfam family "Bacterial small subunit ribosomal RNA", at positions 32 to 369 of the family's 1533-position model. The record is from RNAcentral.
AAUCAACGCUGGCGGCGUGCCUCAGACAUGCAGGUCGAACGCGAAAGUCCCCUUCGGGGGAUGAUUAGAGUGGCGCACGGGUGAGUAACACGUAGGUAAUCUACCUUCGAGUGGGGAAUAACUCAGGGAAACUUGAGCUAAUACCGCAUAAUGCAGCGGCACCACAUGGUGACAGUUGUUAAAGCAUUUAUGCGCUUGAAGAGGAGCCUGCGGCGGAUAGCUAGUUGGUAAGGUAAUGGCUUACCAAGGCUACGAUCUGUAACCGGCCUGAGAGGGCGGACGGUCACACUGACACUGAAUAACGGGUCAGACUCCUACGGGAGGCAGCAGUCGGGAAUUUUGGGC